GUGCCCCCUCCAUCUUCUCUAGAGUGUGUACUGCUCAUUUUAUCUUCACCAGACUGUGAACACAGCAGUGUGUAAAGCUUGCUCCAUCCUUACCAGGCUGUGUAAUACUCACUCCACCUCUACCAGGCUGUGUAAUACUCACUCCAUUUUUACCAGUCUGUAUAAGGCUCACUCCACCUUCACCUUUAAAAAUUUCAGGUGCUUCUUUUAAUAAAUUCAAAAGCAGCACCUGUUUGAAGCAUGAGAAUGGAUUCAUUCCUGAGGCAGGCUGUCCUUAAGUGGCUGGUAAGGAUGUUUAUCUACAAUUUACCUCAGCAGUUCAAAUUUUUAUGGAACUAUUCAAAAGUUGUCUCAUGUACAAGUAGUUCCUGUAAAAACUCAGGUGCUUUCUGAUGAACUCCAUCUGUUGUUUUGCUGUGGAAGCACCCAGAAUGUAUUAAACAUUUUACACAUCUACUGAAAAAAAAAUCCCCUUUUUAAUGUUUUUCCAUAAGAAUCUCUUAAUCACAAGGAUAUCUUGUCAUGGCACAAAAAUAACUUGAGAAGGACUGUUACUUUUCUGCAUUCUUACUUAAAAGACAGCCUGGGAGGAAAAUUACCCACUCAGAACAGAUAAACUCAAACUUCUCUUUUCCCGAUAUAGAAGUUUUCUGGACCUUGGUUUAAUGUUAGCUAUUCAUGUGGUUUAUGCUCUUAAAUGCAAUUUUAAGAGCCUCAGAAAUUUUUAGAAGUUGUUACAGUGAUUCAGUGUUCUGUUUGGAUUACACAGGUUCAGUAAUUAGUAAUGACAUGACUAAAUAAAAUUCUGAUAUUCUGGGGAGCUGGGACAUUGUCCUUGACAUACCAGAGUUCAGUGUUUUAUGGUGGCACUGCAUGUUAAUGGUGUGGGAUUAGAGAAAACUGCUUUUGAAGUGCUUUAAAAUUCACACACUGGUUAUCAGAAAGAUGACUGGAAAACUCUUUCAUUUCAUGGAAGUGCUUUUGAAUGCUCUUGGACAACUGAGAACAGGACUCUAAACUAUCAGACAGCAGUUGUCUCCAUGCUGCUGCCAAAGCCUCCAGCUCUUCUUUUCCUUCAUUUUCUCCAUUGUAUUUAUAUCCAGACAUGCAGUGGAUAGGAGUUAUGCAGAUUAAACUACAUUUCUGAAGUAUUAAUAAACAAAGGUUAUGAAUCCUGCAUAUUAAACUCAAAUAGUCCAUAUUUUGGCUUGGUGUGUUACAGAAGUUGGGUUCUGACAGUUGCUCACACUCUUUUCAUGUUGGUUCUCCAGUUCCUCCAGUAUCUCCUGAUUCUCUUGGUGAAUUUACAUCAGGGGUGUGGUACAAUUAAAUAUUUCAGGUUCCUAAAAAUAGGUGAGCAGGUAAGAGACCACUGAGGGAAAUCUACAUGUGUGUAUCCUUUAGAAACAGUGAUGUUCACUUAAGUGACUUUCCAGUAACUCCUCUGAAAAAUGAAUUAUCUCUUUAUGAAGCUGUCAGCAUGUAUUUGAUAAAACAACAUGAGGAAAUUAGAAUUCAGCUGUCUGAAUUUACCUGGUUAGUAAAUGAAAAGUUUAUAGAGUAUUAGAACACAAAAAUUAUGUUAUGUCCUUUGCUGCUUACUGCUUGUCCUUCACUCUGCUUUUUCUCUUAAUUUGGUAAAUGGUAAAUAUCAAACAAGGGAGAUUUCAAGUUAUAACUAAAACUUUCAAGGGCAUCAGCAAAUUGUGCAGGGAAGUACUUUAUGUGCAUUUGGUAAGUAUUUAGGAUAUGGAGGAAUUUGUUGGGGUUUUGUUGUUUGCUGUGUUUUUAUUUUUUAAAUCCAACCAUAACCUUCCCCUGUCUCUCCCAGGUUAUAAAAUUGUACUUAAUGGCAUUGUGCUUUCAAAUUUGUCAUAAAAGUGUAAUGAAUCUGGUGAUCAAUAGCAAACUGUUGCAUUCUUUCAGUACUGAAGAAGUAAUUUAAUAGCUGAGGUUUACAAAGUCAAUUCUCCUCUCAGUAUAAAUAUCAAUUAUCUGUUACAUUUAAUGAUUCUCUCUCCCAUUUCACAAACACUUGUGUGCUCAGCUUUGCAGGGGAGUAAUCAGUGAUUACAGAGGGACCUGUGCAUCUGAGCUAAGCUGGUGUGUGAGUUUGCAAAGCCUGGUGCUGCUAAUCCAGAACUGUGAGGCAUUUCCCAGGGUUUUUCUAUCCCGUGGGACAUCACCUUUCUUCUGUCUCAGGUUGCUGCACUGGAUGCUCAGGGCUGCUCAGUUUUUAGCAGGUUCUUUGAUCAGAACUCCCUCAGCCACUGCUGGUGCUCCAGCCCCUCAAGCUCCAGAGCUGGACAGAGGAUUGGAGGUGCCCCAGGAGUGCCUGGUGCUUUGCCCUGGGACAGCCCAGGUGCCCUUGGCCUUCUGGCACACCUGGGCACACCUGGGCUGGUGAGCAGCUGCUGUCACCAGCACCUCCAGAGCCUUGUCCACCUGUGCAGCCACUCCUCCCCAGGCCUGGGGUGGUGGUGGCAGGGUAGGACACAGCACUUUGCCUUUGGGAUGUUCUGUUCCAGAAUAUUGCCUGGCACUGAGGCCAGGCUGACAGCCCAGCAUUUCCCUGGAUCCUCCUUCUCCAGCCCAGCAUUUCCCUGGAUCCUCCUUCUCCAGCCCAGCUCUUAGAUGGGAAUCACAAUUGCUGGCUUCAGUCCCCUGGCACGGUCAGAAGUUGUGUCCUCCUGGCCAGAGUGAUCUCAGAACACACAUCUGGUCCUUGUUUGACCUUGUCACUCCAGAGGAUCCCGUGGUGUGACAUGCCCAUGGCACGUUGUGGGGCUGUUGCUGCCUGACUGGCUCUGAAAUACUCACCUGUGGCUGUUCUUGAGCCCUGUGGUGCCCUUGUGUGCCCUUGCCUUGUGCUGGUGGUGCCCACCUCACCUCAGGCUCACCCCUAAAACCACACCAAGUGGGCUUGGAUGUGUUCAUUUUCUAAUGCUUGCAGAAAAGCUGGCUUCACUGCUGCUGCUGCUGGUUCUGAAAAUAAACAGGAGAGGCCCAGAGUCACUCCACCCUUCCCAAGACCCAGAACUAUAAAGUAUCAUCUUUUCCUUCCUUCUUCAGUUUUCCAUGACUGAGUGGUGGCCUGUUAGUGAAGAGCUUGGCCACAAACUGAUUUAGCAGAUGCUGUGAGGAGUCCCUGCACCUCUUACAGACUGGGAAAUCAGCCCUGGGUUCUCUUGAAAUUUUAAUUUCAUAUGUUUUCCUCCUUCCCCACUAAGUACUGGCAGCUUUCUUUGAGAUUUAAGGAGUUAGGGCUGGUGAGAUUCAUCUGCUGAUUGCUUUGAUAAACCAUCAGUUUGACAUUUCCUCCCUUUUCAGGGAGGAGCACAGGCGGUGUUUCCCCAAGUGAUGCUUGAUAAAGGCAAUGAGAAGCAAAGGAAGAACUUCCUGAAUAUCCUGUGUGGUUCAUUAGGGGAAUCUGGACAUUUGUUUCUCAUGCUGACAUCCUAAAUGCUGAAAUGCUUUUAUAGAGUUGUCUUCAUUCUGCUGAGUCUUGUGGGGGCACUCACAAACAAUUUGGGCCUUUCAAUUUAAGUUAUUUUGAGCAACAUCUACACACAAGUAGCUGCUUCUUUGUUCUCUUCCAUCACCUCCCAUUCCACUCUGCUCAAAGGUGACCUGCAAAUGACUUUUUAGGGUUUGCCACUCUCUUUAGUUUCAUAAUGAUGUGUGAAACUAGCCCGAAAGGCUUGGAAAAGCUUUCCUGCACUUCUUAAAACUUCGUGUCAGCUCUCAUCUAAUUUGGAUUUUUUUGCUAUAGGGCUUGUGGGUUAUUCUCAAGGUAUUUAUUAUUAGCUCUUGCAUCUUAAUUCACUGUGCAGACCUGAGGAAACCAAAAUAUUAAUUAGUAAUGAAAAUGAAUCAAAGUUAACAAACUGAACACUUCCAGCAGCCUGGAUAAAACCCCUGCCUUGUUUAAUUGCCUAAAUUUCACAUAGAUGAUGGCACAACUUUCAUAGGUUUCUCCCUCCCCUCCCAGUGACUGCGAGUCAAACAGCAGAAGGUGAAAAUAAUUGCUUUUUUCUUCAACCUUCCCCAACCCUUUUGUGCUCUCUUCACUCAUUCUCAGCAUUGUUAAGGAGCAGUGUCAGGCUCCUCGUUUCACCCUGAGGAGGCUGAACACCAGAAUGACAUCAUGAGUUCAGAGAGCUCGGGUGACAGAUGACCACGGGGCUUGGUAAGGUUGUGUUAGUGACAGCCAAGCUGGCUUUUCUGUCAGCUCCUGAAAAAAGCCUUUCAGGUGAAACCAAGACUAGAAGCCUGAUCUGACUCUGUGUGGAAGCUGCUUUUGCAGCCUGCCUGGCCCUGGAGCUCUUGCUUUACCUGUGGGUUUUGCUGCUGCAGGGAUGUGCUCAGUGAUGCCUUCAGUGUUCUCAAGCACAGGCAGUCAUUUUGAGCUUAUAAAUCCUGGUUUCCUACCAAGGCCAGACAAACUCAUCCUUCUUUCUACUAAACUUCUUGGAGAUUCCAUUUUUGCUCUUUGGGCUGCUCACCAUCAGUGCCUGGAGUUGAGCUGAUGCCUCUCCUCUCUGCUGCUUGCAGCGUGUUGCAGUUUGUGUUCCUUCCAGAGAGCAAACAGAUCAAUUUCCAGCAUCCUCCAGUGGUGUUUUCUCCCCUCUGUCUGCAACUGGAGCCACUGUUUAUCUGUGGUUUGUCCUUUGUGACAUAAUAGGGCUGAUGGAGCAGAGCCUUCCCAAAUUGCAUCAUAAUUCCUCCUGAAUUCUUAUGGAAAAGAGAAUUUUUUUUCUCCUCUACCCACAGUAGUUUGUUUCCUUGAUAGAGCAGCUGCUUUAAUUAAUGGGCCUGGGCUGAUUCAAGCCACAGGAACCUUGAGCUAAGGGAUGGGGGAUUUUUUUUUGCCUUAUAAAUCAAAUUACUAGAAACAGUUUGGCUUUUUCUAAUUGCUGCUUUUAUAAAUGUUCAUUAAAAUGUUUUCCUUACAGUACAACCCUUUGGCUUGUUUCUAUUCCCUUGCUAUGACAUUUGCAUGCACUUAAUAUAGAAGGUGAGGCAGAAACAGUGAGGAUGGUGAAAUGUUAAUUUUGUUACAGAUAACAGUGCUAAGCUGCAGAGCUACACACUCCAGCAGCUUAACCCACUUUCUGGAGGGAUGAUUUCCUAAAUAAAGCCCUAAAAAUGAAGGUAAAGCUCUCUGCAGCUCCAUUUCUGUGAGGGGUCCACAGAUGGACGUGGGUUGGUAGAUUGGGAAGUCUGGUUUCCAGCAGAAGAGUUUGGGAACUGAUCAUGAGGAUGCUCAGAAUGGAUUUCCUACAUGGCUAAAUCUAAAAGUGCUUCCAGAUCCAUUUUGGGACACAUUAGUCACAUUUUUCAUAGCUGGACUCAUAGAUAUAAAGCAGCCCAAAAGAACAUUUGGAUGAAAUCAGGGAGAUUAAUUUUCUGCUCUACAUUCUUCUACCAGCAUUAGGAUUGUUUCAGACUCUGCUUUUGGUUUACCCCCAUCUGUUUUCCCUUGUGUUUUAUGGUGUAGCUUUCUGCUAUGUAAUAGAAAAUCUUCUCUUGCCUGUUCCAUUUGUGUUUUAUUUUUGGCCAUUGUGUUCUAUUUAUAUUCCUUUCUGCCAUGUGAAGUAGCACUUUCCUGCUACCAUUAGUUUUUCCUGAAUCCUUUCCUUAAGGAAUCCCUCAGCCAAGCUACCUGUUGGUUAGAGUUGGCAAAAUCAUCCAAAUACCUGGGAAUGAGAAUGGAGAAUUGGGAACUUUGACCCCUCCCAGUCUUUGAGGCACCUCACCCCAGUCCAUCAUUCACGCUGCACUUCAGAGGAGUACAAAGAAGGUGCUAGAAUGCCUUUAAUUGCAGGAUUUUUAAUUGUGAUUGAGGUGUCUCCCAGCGUGGUUCUGAUGAAGAGGUGUUUUGAAAUGGGACAUUGAGUUAGCUCUGUCUCACGUGAGCCUUGGAGAGAGGAUGAAGCUCAGGAGCAAUUUGAAGCAACUUGAAGGCGUUGGGGCUUGGGUUUGCAUCUUUAAUUGGGCCUUAUUCUUCAGCCUGCUGAGGGGGACACUGGCUGAUACCUUAAUUAAACACAUGAAGGACUGGAGAGUUUCUUUUGGUGGAAUAAGGAUGAAAGCUCUGAGGUGCUUGUUGGAGCAAGACAAUGCAAAAUACUCAUUAUUUUACUUGCUUAUCAACAGGCAUCCAUUUAAACAGAGACUGUUACUGCAGCAAAAUUCCUACUGACUUCAAUAAAAUGCACUGACAUUGUAAGGACUUCAUAAUCUUUUGAGUAUUAACAGAUGGUCACUGACUGCCUGAAACAAAGUUGUUGGGGGUUUUUCUUUUUUUUUGGUUUGUUGAUCACCACAGGUAUCUGGAAACGGAACAGACUUUGCCUUCUGGAAAUCAGACCUGACUGUGAAACAAAGGGGGUUCUUUCUCCUUCCUUUUCCUUGCUACAGACUCUUUAGAGAAAAGAAUGGAAAAUGUAAACUGGUUUCUGGUGUGUUUUAUCAGAAGUCUUUGGUGACCAGCCCGAUUUGGUGUGGUGAGCCUUGCCCUGGAGGGGUGUGCUUGAGGCAGCAGCACAAGUGAGUGGCACCAGCAUCCUGUCUGAACAGAAACCCAGCAAGGGGCUUGUUGACCCUGUGGUUUGAAGUGAAAUUCUGCAGUGCCAGCAGUACCCCAGCCAUGGUGGAAAGCAGUUUGUCUUUGCUGCUGCCAUGGACUGAAUGAGCAGAGUCUUGACUGUUUGGAAAAUAUUCCUGUUAACAGUUUUUCUUUUGUGUAUUUGUCAGUUUAUAUAUUAGUUGCAGUUGUACUUUGCACAAACACUAAUUAGACAGCCAUCAACACUCAGGGCCAAAGGCUUACUAACAAUGCAACUGUGAUAGCAGUGUCUUAAUUGGUUGAGUAUAAUUGUCAUUAGGCAACCAUAAAGACAUCUGGGGCUCUGGAGAGAGAUCAGCCUCCCCCUCCUCCUCUUCCCCAAAUUUGUUCUGGCUAUUGCUAUCCAGCACAGUGGAGCUUUUUCAGAUGAGAUUCUGUGUUUUGACCAGUUUCCUGAUGUUUUUCUCCUUAUGAAAUCGUCUGCCUCUUCAGCACCACUUCAUUAGAACUGUGCCCAGCCUCCAGCUCUGCUUCCUCCCACAUGUGCUCUGCACUCCACCACCUGCUUCCCAGACAUUCAUUCCUGGUGGGGCAGCAGCAGCAGCUUUUAACCCCAGCUCCUUCUGCUUUCACUCAUCUGAGAGGGCACCAGCAAAAUGUUCAUCUCAUUAGGGCAUUACUGCCAGUAAAAAGUAGUCACAAUGCUUUUGGUUAGUGAGUAGGCAUUUUUAUUGCACAUUAAUUUAAUUUUUCCCAGUUUUUCUAUGCCAUUUGCAUUCCUCCUGUUGUUGCUUCAUUUCAGCAAGGUUUUUGAUGCAUCUCUGUAAAGCUUAAGCUGAGUCUCCAGGUUAAUUUUUACAGCUAGAUCCAUAUCUGGCUAGAAUUACAGAAUGGGCUCGUUGAGAAGUAUAUUUAGAAAAAUACAACUUGUCUCUUCUGCUGCUCUUGUCUCAUGUGUCUGUACUGAAAUAUUCCAAAGAACAAGGGCAAAGUGGAAUGUGGGUCCAUCAAAGAAGCUGAGUUAUUUGGGUAGAGAGGCUCUGUUGAACAUCAGAGAGGGAAAAAUGUGUUUGUGAGUAGAGAGAGCGUGGUGUGGAUGGAAGGAAUCAGGGAAGGGGUAUUGGGAGAGGGGGGAAUCAGCCUUGUGAGCAACAGGCUUCUUGUUGUGCUCAGGAGGGCAGGAGUUUGUACAGCCUUUCUAAAUGAAAUGAAGCAGAUGUGGUCUCUAAUGUGGGUUAUUUUAGGGGUUGGGUUGUUGGGUCUGCUCAGUGCAGGAGGUGUCAGGUGUUGGAGUAUUUAUUUACCUGCCACUGCAACAAUCAGCUCAUGGCACCCAUCAGGGGAAAACAGCAGCAGCUGAAUGCUCUUGGUGUCAGAGCAAAUAGGAUGUGAACAUUGUCCUAUUAAACAGGAAGGGAGUUUUGAAUAGGUUUGGGGGUUUUUUCACUCCAGCAGAAAUCUAUGUGGGCAUUUCAGUGCCAUUUUGGUAGAAAAAUCAGUAACUGAGUGGGUUUGAAGUGCUGGGCUUGUUCUCAGGCAGGACUUGCAUCUGGGGUUAUUUCACUGAGUGAUCCAAAUGAAAUUUUCAGGGCAAGAUGUAAAAGUUGUGGUGGGAAAUGAAUAGAAAUCUUGAAAUUGUCUAGAAAUAGUGCAGUGUGUUCCUCUCUCCAGCCAUCUCUAUUGAUAGGGCAGAUUUGCCAAUUAUCUGUAAUAAAGCAGCCUUUUGAGUUUUUUUUUUUACAGCAAGGCAGUGCUUUAAUAGUUUAAAAGCCUUUUGUUGUGGUUACAAAUUGAAAGUGUGGUGCUCUUUACAACAGCAUUAAAUUUAUUUUAUUUUUUUUUUCCUUCUGAAUUGGAUUCAUCUGUGUUUGAAAUUCUUCCAGUUCAGUGCUGGUGCAGGCCCAGUGCACACUGGAAAUGGGCAGUAGAGGAGCUGGUUUAUAUCUCCCACUUCCCCAGGCUGGUUCCCUGCCCAGACCUGGGGCUUCACUCGUGUUCCCACCACAUCUUGUGGAACAUCUCCCCCAAUCCUUCAGCUUUGCUGUGUGGGACUGCACUGGGAAGGAUGGGAAUGGUGAGAAUCAGGGGAGGAGGGAUAAGAGCAACAAAGAACGGUUCAAACUAAAUUUUGACUUGAUUGAAUUCUGAGAUAAAAUUAAUUUAAGGAUUUACUGUGGUCCUGUGAUGUUUGGUCUCUAAUUCCAGGAUUGCAUUGUUAUUUUUGGUGGAUCCCUUGUGUUCCAGGCUGUGUAGGGAAGCCAGAUGCAGUGUGCCCUGAGAGUUACCCAGCCCUGAAUUUCUCCUUUUCUCCUGCCAUGUUCUCCAUCUCUCAGUCUUUCUUUUUCCAUCUCCAGCCUGGACUAUGUGAGAGCUACGCUAGGAGGAGAUGCUGUUCUUCCUUGUUUAUUUAGAGAUGAAAACAAAUAUUCUGUCACUGAGUUCUGUCCAGUCUACCAGUGUUUUAUGUCUCCCCUGAAACUCACUUUUCAGUGACAAGAGAAUUUUGGCUUCCCUUGGGAGGAAUCUGCUGCUCUUGGCAAUCAGGAGAAGCUCAAAAACACGACCCCAACCAACCCUAACAUAAGGAAACAAAAAUCAGCUCAAAAUUAAAACGCUUCCAAAACACUGUGUGCCUCUUGUUGAAGGGGACUGCAGCUGAUCUGUGCAAUCACCUGUCCUGUUGUGGUUUAUCUCCAGAUUUUGAGGCAGAACGAGCCCUUUCCAGUUUUGCAAACUGAAGAGAUUUGUUGUGAUCUGAUCCGCGCUCUGUGUCCAGUCUGACAUGAAACGUUUUGCUUUGGGGAAGUUUCUUUCUUGGUCUGUUCUUCUUAAAUUGUGCUGCUGUAAAUUGGGAAUGAAAGCAGGAUUCAGAGGAGGUUUGGGCCUGGUUUGCAGAGGCAGGGAAAGGGAGAAGUGUCCCACCCUGUUCUCUCAUUUCCCUGGGUGCUCCCCUGUAGGGCACAGCAGAGGAGGCAGGUGACCAGGGCACAGUUCUCUCUCUUCCUGACCAGUGCAGGGAAUUAAUGUGAAUCUCUCUCUGCCUGACAGCUUUCACCACUCCCCUGGGCACUUUAAUUCCUUCUCUAAAUUGGAGCCUUUUCACCAGGAGAUGUUGGGAGUGAUCUGCUGGCAGUACCAGGAGCCCUGGGCAAGGCACUGCCCA
This is a long non-coding RNA of Parus major (Great Tit), 9734 nucleotides long. RefSeq lists it as uncharacterized. Lineage: Eukaryota; Metazoa; Chordata; Aves; Passeriformes; Paridae. The record is from RefSeq and is a predicted model, not a curated record. The transcript has 2 exons.